CCUACGGGAGGCAGCAGUGGGGAAUAUUGGGCAAUGGGCGCAAUCCUGACCCAGCAACGCCGCGUGAAGGAAGAAGGCUUUCGGGUUGUAAACUUCUUUUCUCAGGGACGAAGCAAGUGACGGUACCUGAGGAAUAAGCCACGGCUAACUACGUGCCAGCAGCCGCGGUAAUACGUAGGUGGCAAGCGUUAUCCGGAUUUACUGGGUGUAAAGGGCGUGUAGGCGGGAAAGCAAGUCAGAUGUGAAAACCAUGGGCUCAACCUGUGGCCUGCAUUUGAAACUGUUUGUCUUGAGUACUGGGGAGGCAGACGGAAUUCGUGGUGUAGCGGUGAAAUGCGUAGAUAUUAGGAGGAACACCAGUGGCGAAGGCAGUCUGCUGGACAGCAACUGACGCUGAGGCGCGAAGGCGUGGGGAGCAAACAGGAUUAGAUACCCUUGUAGUC
Molecule: ribosomal RNA, 443 nt
Filed under: uncultured bacterium
Lineage: Bacteria
Description: partial 16S ribosomal RNA
Rfam family: Bacterial small subunit ribosomal RNA
Source: RNAcentral